Molecule: unclassified non-coding RNA, 328 nt
Filed under: soil metagenome
Description: partial contains 5.8S ribosomal RNA, internal transcribed spacer 2, and large subunit ribosomal RNA
Rfam family: 5.8S ribosomal RNA (bases 1-120)
Source: RNAcentral
GAUGAAGAACGUAGCGAAAUGCGAUAAGUAAUGUGAAUUGCAGAAUUCAGUGAAUCAUCGAAUCUUUGAACGCACAUUGCGCCCCCUGGUAUUCCGGGGGGCAUGCCUGUCCGAGCGUCAUUACAACCCUCAAGCUCAGCUUGGUGUUGGGCCCCGCCGCCCAGCGGGCCCUAAAGUCAGUGGCGGUGCCGUCCGGCUCCGAGCGUAGUAAUUCUUCUCGCUCUGGAGGUCCGGUCGUGUGCUCGCCAGCAACCCCCAAUUUUUUUCAGGUUGACCUCGGAUCAGGUAGGGAUACCCGCUGAACUUAAGCAUAUCAAUAAGCGGAGGA